GACGAACGCUGGCGGCGUGCCUAAUACAUGCAAGUAGAACGCUGAAGAGAGGAGCUUGCUCUUCUUGGAUGAGUUGCGAACGGGCGAGUAACGCGUAGGUAACCUGCCUUGUAGCGGGGGAUAACUAACGGAAACGAUAGCUAAUAACGCAUAACAAUGGAUGAAACAUGUCAUUUAUAUGAAAGGGGCAAUUGAUUCAUUACAAGAUGGACCUGCGUUGUAUUUGCUAGUAGGUGAGGAAAGGGCCCACCAAGGCGCCGGUACAUAGCCCACCUGGGUGGUUGGACGGCCACACUCGGCCUGAGACACGGCCCACACUCCUACGUGCGGCAGCAGUAGGGAAUCUUCGGCAAUGGGGGCUACCCUGACCGUUCAACGCCGCGUGUGUGAAGAAGGUUUUCGGAUCUUAAAGCUCUGUUGUAAGUCAAGAGCGGGUGUGAGAGUGGAAAGUUCACUCUGUGACGUUAGCUUACCAGAUAGGGACGGCUUACUACGUU
This 497-nucleotide ribosomal RNA is filed under the name uncultured bacterium. RNAcentral's name for it is "partial 16S ribosomal RNA". It matches the Rfam family "Bacterial small subunit ribosomal RNA", at positions 28 to 507 of the family's 1533-position model. The record is from RNAcentral.